UACGGAGGGUGCGAGCGUUAAUCGGAAUUACUGGGCGUAAAGCGCGUGUAGGCGGUACUUUAAGUCAGAUGUGAAAUCCCCCGGCUCAACCGGGGGAGUGCAUUGGAUACUGGAAUACUUGAGUGAUAGAGGGGAAAGCGGAAUUCCAUGUGUAGCGGUGAAAUGCGUAGAGAUUAGGAGGAACACCAGUGGCGAAGGCGGCUUUCUGGCUAUUAACUGACGCUGAGGUGCGAAAGCGUGGGGAGCAAACAGG
RNAcentral lists this ribosomal RNA (253 nucleotides) under uncultured bacterium. RNAcentral describes it as "partial 16S ribosomal RNA". It matches the Rfam family "Bacterial small subunit ribosomal RNA", at positions 524 to 776 of the family's 1533-position model. The record is from RNAcentral.